This 254-nucleotide ribosomal RNA is filed under the name uncultured bacterium. RNAcentral describes it as "partial 16S ribosomal RNA". It matches the Rfam family "Bacterial small subunit ribosomal RNA", at positions 524 to 776 of the family's 1533-position model. The record is from RNAcentral.
GACAGAGGUGCCAAGCGUUUAGGCGGAAUCACUGGGCUUAAAGCGUGUGUAGGCGGAGUGCUAAGUACCUUGUGAAAUCCCACGGCUCAACCGUGGAACUGCUGGGUAUACUGGUUCUCUUGAGCGACCCAGGGGCGAGCGGAACAAACGGUGGAGCGGUGAAAUGCGUAGAUAUUGGGAGGAACACCAGUGGCGAAGGCGGCUACCUGGACCGGAACUGACGCUGAUGCGCGAAAGCGUGGGUAGCAAACAGG